This 80-nucleotide small RNA is filed under the name Aliivibrio fischeri. Its description in RNAcentral is "isrK". It matches the Rfam family "isrK Hfq binding RNA". Lineage: Bacteria; Pseudomonadati; Pseudomonadota; Gammaproteobacteria; Vibrionales; Vibrionaceae. The record is from RNAcentral. RNAcentral also lists the same sequence under 1 other name.
UCAUUGGCAAAAUCCAAUGACAGAAUUGAUACUCUGAAAUGAUAACAAGGCGUAUAUCGCCAGCAUCUUGCUGGUUUUUU